UGAAUCUCAAAAAAACCAGCCUGCCAA
This 27-nucleotide non-coding RNA is filed under the name Rattus norvegicus (Norway rat). Lineage: Eukaryota; Metazoa; Chordata; Mammalia; Rodentia; Muridae. The record is from RNAcentral.